GAAAGCCGUAUGAAGGAGAACUUCACGUACGGAUUGAUGAGAAGGUUGAGGAGGAGAUGAAAUCAAAUCCUCCGCCUUACUCUAGAU
Clostridium sp. Maddingley MBC34-26 is the source of this 87-nucleotide non-coding RNA. Lineage: Bacteria; Bacillati; Bacillota; Clostridia; Eubacteriales; Clostridiaceae. The record is from Rfam.